AACCUUCGGGUUACAGUCUGAGUAGUUGCAGACUGAUGGCUGGUGACUAUAAUGGUUACCAGCCU
The sequence is a non-coding RNA, 65 nucleotides long. It matches the Rfam family "Pseudomonas sRNA P26". From Rfam's summary of the family: P26 is conserved across many Gammaproteobacteria species and appears to be consistently located between the DNA directed RNA polymerase (beta subunit) and 50S ribosomal protein L7/L12 genes. The record is from Rfam.